RNAcentral lists this ribosomal RNA (891 nucleotides) under uncultured Gammaproteobacteria bacterium. RNAcentral describes it as "bacterial SSU rRNA". It matches the Rfam family "Bacterial small subunit ribosomal RNA", at positions 28 to 916 of the family's 1533-position model. The record is from RNAcentral. Lineage: Bacteria; Pseudomonadati; Pseudomonadota; Gammaproteobacteria.
AUUGAACGCUGGCGGCAGGCCUAACACAUGCAAGUCGAACGGUAACAUUUCUAGCUUGCUAGAAGAUGACGAGUGGCGGACGGGUGAGUAAUGCUUGGGAACUUGCCUUUGCGAGGGGGAUAACAGUUGGAAACGACUGCUAAUACCGCAUAAUGUCUUCGGACCAAACGGGGCUUCGGCUCCGGCGCAAAGAGAGGCCCAAGUGAGAUUAGCUAGUUGGUAAGGUAACGGCUUACCAAGGCGACGAUCUCUAGCUGUUCUGAGAGGAAGAUCAGCCACACUGGGACUGAGACACGGCCCAGACUCCUACGGGAGGCAGCAGUGGGGAAUAUUGCACAAUGGGGGAAACCCUGAUGCAGCCAUGCCGCGUGUGUGAAGAAGGCCUUCGGGUUGUAAAGCACUUUCAGUUGUGAGGAAAAGUUAGUAGUUAAUACCUGCUAGCCGUGACGUUAACAACAGAAGAAGCACCGGCUAACUCCGUGCCAGCAGCCGCGGUAAUACGGAGGGUGCGAGCGUUAAUCGGAAUUACUGGGCGUAAAGCGCACGCAGGCGGUUUGUUAAGCUAGAUGUGAAAGCCCCGGGCUCAACCUGGGAUGGUCAUUUAGAACUGGCAGACUAGAGUCUUGGAGAGGGGAGUGGAAUUCCAGGUGUAGCGGUGAAAUGCGUAGAUAUCUGGAGGAACAUCAGUGGCGAAGGCGACUCCCUGGCCAAAGACUGACGCUCAUGUGCGAAAGUGUGGGUAGCGAACAGGAUUAGAUACCCUGGUAGUCCACACCGUAAACGCUGUCUACUAGCUGUGUGUGUCUUUAAGACGUGCGUAGCGAAGCUAACGCGCUAAGUAGACCGCCUGGGGAGUACGGCCGCAAGGUUAAAACUCAAAUGAAUUGACGG